GAUUGAUAUUGGGGUUUGAUAUGAAGUGAUGUAUAUUGUCCUGUUUUAGGGUGCUGUCUUAAAAGGGUGAGGGUACAGGUUUAAAUAAAGAGGCAAACUAUGAAAUAUUCAAAAUGUUCGAUUUUAAAAACACAUUGUUCUACCUCUGCAGAGCUGUCACAGUUUAGCCAGGGCAAAGGCUGCUGGAAUAUCAGUGAAGAUAUAAAA
This is a non-coding RNA of Pelobates cultripes (western spadefoot toad), 207 nucleotides long. NCBI's taxonomy places the organism in Eukaryota, Metazoa, Chordata, Amphibia, Anura, Pelobatidae. The record is from the annotation of a GenBank genome assembly.